This 1403-nucleotide ribosomal RNA is filed under the name metagenome. RNAcentral's name for it is "bacterial SSU rRNA". It matches the Rfam family "Bacterial small subunit ribosomal RNA". The record is from RNAcentral.
AAUACAAGAAACCGGCGCACGGGUGCGUAACGCGUAUGCAACCUACCUAUAACUGGGGUAUAGCUCGGCGAAAGUCGAAUUAAUCCCCCAUAACAUUUAAUAUUCUCAUGAAUAUUAUCUUAAAGCUCCGGCGGUUAUAGAUGGGCAUGCGUAUCAUUAGCUAGUUGGUAAGGUAACGGCUUACCAAGGCUACGAUGAUUAGGGGGUCUGAGAGGAUGAUCCCCCACACUGGAACUGAGACACGGUCCAGACUCCUACGGGAGGCAGCAGUGAGGAAUAUUGGUCAAUGGGGGCAACCCUGAACCAGCCAUGCCGCGUGAAGGAUUAAGGCCCUACGGGUUGUAAACUUCUUUUAUUUGGGACGAACUGUAGAUACGUGUAUUUACUUGACGGUACCAAAUGAAUAAGCACCGGCUAACUCCGUGCCAGCAGCCGCGGUAAUACGGAGGGUGCAAGCGUUAUCCGGAUUUAUUGGGUUUAAAGGGUGCGUAGGUGGUAUUGUAAGUCAGUGGUGAAAUUCUGUAGCUUAACUAUAGAACUGCCAUUGAUACUACAGUUCUUGAGUACAAUUGAGGUAGGCGGAAUGUGCAGUGUAGCGGUGAAAUGCUUAGAUAUUGCACAGAACACCAAUUGCGAAGGCAGCUUACUAAACUGUAACUGACACUGAGGCACGAAAGCAUGGGGAUCGAACAGGAUUAGAUACCCUGGUAGUCCAUGCCGUAAACGAUGAUUACUCGAUGUAUGCGAUAUAUAGUAUGCGUCUAAGCGAAAGCAUUAAGUAAUCCACCUGGGGAGUACGACCGCAAGGUUGAAACUCAAAGGAAUUGACGGGGGCCCGCACAAGCGGAGGAACAUGUGGUUUAAUUCGAUGAUACGCGAGGAACCUUACCUGGGCUAGAACGCCGAACGACCUCCCGAGAAAUCGGGAUUCCCCUCGGGGCGGUCGGCGAGGUGCUGCAUGGUUGUCGUCAGCUCGUGCCGUGAGGUGUCGGAUUAAGUUCCAUAACGAGCGCAACCCUUAUCGUUAGUUGCCAGCGAGUAAUGUCGGGAACUCUAACGAAACUGCCGGUGUAAACCGUGAGGAAGGUGGGGGUGACGUCAAAUCAGCACGGCCCUUACGUCCAGGGCCACACACGUGUUACAAUGGUCGGUACAAAGGGCAGCUACACCGCGAGGUGAUGCUAAUCUCUAAAACCGAUCUCAGUUCGGAUUGUAGUCUGAAACUCGACUACAUGAAGCUGGAUUCGCUAGUAAUCGAACAUCAGCCAUGGUUCGGUGAAUACGUUCCCGGGCCUUGUACACACCGCCCGUCAAGCCAUGGAAGCUGGGAGUACCUGAAGUACGUAACCGAAAGGAGCGUCCUAGGGUAGUACCGGUAACUGGGGCUAAGUCGGAACAAGGUA